Molecule: non-coding RNA, 1354 nt
Organism: Physcomitrium patens
Lineage: Eukaryota; Viridiplantae; Streptophyta; Bryopsida; Funariales; Funariaceae
Source: RefSeq, a predicted model, not a curated record
AUCUCUAAUUGACACCCUUCGAGUGGUUUCUUAUUUUGCCAGGACCACUGCACUGGCUAAAAAAUCCAAAAAUUACGAAAGGAGGCUGUCGAGAGGAGUAUGGCGGAUUCUGUCUGGGUCUAUCUUUUUGCUUUUUUCCUACCUUGUUUUUGCUUCGUUGUGUGGCGGCGAUGUCGCUAGGUUGACCAGUGCUGCCUCGUUGUAGUUGUUGCCUUGCAAAAAGGUUGCUGCUGGAGCAGCGCAAGAUCUUUGUUUUGCUCUCGCAUUAGAUUCCUGCGUUGUUGUCAACGCUUCCCGAGCUAGUGUUCACGCUGGUGUUCGUGACUAGUGGCAGCUAUGUGCUGGUGUGGAGUUCCAUUAUCUCUUCAUGCGACGGUAAGCGUUGGAGCUACGAGGCGGUGCUGCCAUUCUUAUUGUCCUUCUUUUGCUGGAAGUGAAUUCAUGGUGUUAGAAGCUAACGUGAGUUGUCAACGUUGAUUUGGUGAAUGCUACUUCAGCUCGCUUGUAGGUGUCCAGUAGCAUUGGGCGGAUCUUGGGCAGUACGAUGGUUGUCGACAAAUCCUGGUUCUUCUUCGUAGUGUGCGGCUGUAGCAGAGAAUCUUGUUCCAGUUUCGUUCUCUGUGGUGUUCUCCAUGUGAUUGGAGUUCCUGGUUUCAAUCUCUCUCGCAGACGUCUCGAUGUUUGUUAAUGGCUCUUGUUAAUGGUAGCUGGGUUGUGAAGAGCCGUUGUGAUUGAUCAACGCGUGGUCGCGUGGAGAUUUGACGUUGAGGCUAGACAAGCUGUUGGUGAGCCGAGCUACUGUGCUCAACAACAUCAAGAACAGAGUAGGCGUGGGCAAACGGAGCCCUUCAGUGGACGAACAAUUGGCUGCAACGUUCAUGGUGGAAGAGUUAGUAAGAAAGGCGGAGCUGUUCCUGAUUGCGGGUCCUUAUUUUCUUUGACUUUUGUUAUUGCCUCGUCACAAGCGUUGCUUUGGGGUCAACCCUCUUAAUCAGCUCGAAUGAUGUAACUUGGCUUUCAAGACAAGCUCACCAGUCCUGGUGGUUGGAGAUUAGUGUGUUAGAACCCUGCUAUUUGAGUGGUGACUGUUGUAUGGGAGUUGGAUUGUAUCCAGUGAGAGCUUGCAUCUGAAGGACUUUUAUCUCGAUAUACAUCGAAUCCUACGAAUCCUUCAAAUCCUUUUUUUAUAUAAAAAUCUUACGUCUAGGUCUUACAAUUUGCAACAAACCUUAAGUGUUGUUAACCACAACUCUUGGUGUGACAAAAGAGGGUCUAUGUAGUAUGGUUUGAAUGUGUGUUGUUGCUACAUUAAGGCUGGUUAUUUUAAUGACACAUCUUUUAAGUCACCUUCCAA